RNAcentral lists this ribosomal RNA (496 nucleotides) under uncultured bacterium. RNAcentral describes it as "bacterial SSU rRNA". It matches the Rfam family "Bacterial small subunit ribosomal RNA", at positions 15 to 507 of the family's 1533-position model. The record is from RNAcentral.
GAUCAUGGCUCAGAUUGAACGCUGGCGGCAUGCUUUACACAUGCAAGUCGAACGGUAACAGGCCUUCGGGUGCUGACGAGUGGCGAACGGGUGAGUAAUGCAUCGGAACGUGCCCAAUCGGUGGGGGAUAACGUAGCGAAAGUUACGCUAAUACCGCAUAAGCCCUGAGGGGGAAAGCAGGGGACCGCAAGACCUUGCGCGAAUGGAGCGGCCGAUGUCAGAUUAGCUAGUUGGUGGGGUAAAGGCCUACCAAGGCGACGAUCUGUAGCGGGUCUGAGAGGAUGAUCCGCCACACUGGGACUGAGACACGGCCCAGACUCCUACGGGAGGCAGCAGUGGGGAAUUUUGGACAAUGGGCGCAAGCCUGAUCCAGCCAUGCCGCGUGCGGGACGAAGGCCUUCGGGUUGUAAACCGCUUUCAGCCGGAAAGAAAUCGCCAAGGCUAAUAUCCUUGGUGGAUGACGGUACCGGAAGAAGAAGCACCGGCUAACUACGUG